Molecule: long non-coding RNA, 399 nt
Organism: Camellia sinensis
Lineage: Eukaryota; Viridiplantae; Streptophyta; Magnoliopsida; Ericales; Theaceae
Source: RefSeq, a predicted model, not a curated record
CUCUCUCUCACACACACACACACACACACACACACACACACACACACACACACCUCUGCCUUCCUCCUUCCAUGCCAUCUCUCUUGCUUUGUUUGCAUCGUCAUUGGGUACAAGAGCAUCAUUGCCAUCACACAUGAGCACCACUGUUGAUCCACUGUUGGAGCAUUACCCCAGGUUUUUGGAUGCUCUGAGGUUUGAGAGCUUGUGAAAGCAAGAACUUAUAAUCUAUCUCCAAAACUUCAAGAGCCCCAAUUUGAAGAAAAUCGAAGAAGCUAAAGUAUCUCUUGUUGAAAGAGCUCCUAAUUUCAACAAUUGCUGUUCAACUUCCACCCAACCCAAGAUUCGAGAUUUGAUAUAGACCAUGUUUGGUAAUUUGGAGAGCAGAAACUAGCUCAUUUU